AAAGUUGUUGCAGUUAAAAAGCUCGUAGUUGGAUUUCGGAAGGUCCUUAGUAAUCCGCCCCUUCGGGGAGCGGGUUGCUGGCCUCCUAUGUUCCUAACGGUCCUCGUCCGCGAGGGCGGGGAAUCAACCGCUAGGAUCGUUUACUUUGAGGAAAUUAGAGUGUUCAAAGCAGGCGUAACUCGCCUCCGAAUACGUUAGCAUGGGAUAAUGGAAUACGACUUCGGUCUUGUUUCGUUGGUUUCGCUUGGCUGAAGUAAUGAUUGAUAGGGACAGUUGGGGGCAUUAGUAUUUAGUUGUCAGAGGUGAAAUUCUAGGAUUUACUAAAGACUGACCAAUGCGAAAGCAUUUGCCAAGGAUGUUUUCAUUAAUCAAGAACGAAAGUAGGGGGAUCGAAGACGAUCAGAUACCGUCGUAGUCUCUACCGUAAACUAUGCCGACCAGGGAUCCGGAGAGUUUGCAUGGAUGACUCCCCGGGCACCUUGUGAGAAAUCAUAAGUGUUUGGGUUUUGGGGGGAGUAUGGUCGCAAGGCUGAAACUUAAAGGAAUUGACGGAAGGGCACCACCAGGAGUGGAACCU
RNAcentral lists this ribosomal RNA (577 nucleotides) under Euamoebida sp. EO-2012. RNAcentral's name for it is "SSU rRNA". It matches the Rfam family "Eukaryotic small subunit ribosomal RNA", at positions 606 to 1184 of the family's 1831-position model. The record is from RNAcentral. Lineage: Eukaryota; Tubulinea; Elardia; Euamoebida.